CAGAAAACAAGCACCCUCAGUAAACAUGACCUAAUGAGGGUGGUGGCCUUCAACUGCCUGGGAGGUACCAGAAGAACCCUACAAAGAGCCAGGGCUCUCACACAGACAGGCAACACCUGCCAAAGAAGUCUCUGAAAUAUCCUUUUAAUUGACAUAAAACUAUCCUAUUCACCUUUGGGGGCCAAGGAAUUGUCUUUUGAUUUAUUUUCCUUUACUAAAUACUGUGUAAUUAGAUGAAUUCGGAACUCUGUAAGGGGGACAGUUUGUCGUGCCCAGUAGCUUCCCACUGGACUCUGGAGCCUGGCCUGCAAGAGCCAAAUUAUGAUCCUGAUCAACUUAAUCUGAUUGAACUACAGAAAAAUGAGUUGUUACUUAACAAGUUGUUGGAUAGUUGGGAGUCACAAUUAUUGGAGAUCACUGUCCAUAAGACUAGAUUGCUUCCAUCUCCAGAAUGCAUCUGACCCUGAACUCUUAGUCAAACUUGAGAAUUCUAAUAGAAGAGCACUAAAUUGUUCUGCAUCACAGAAGGAAAAGAAUGUGAGCCUUCCAGAGCACUUCAAGACACAAGUAUGCAAAGAAGCAGCUGUGGGAGAGAAGAGGUGAUCCAGGAGACAGGCAGCCUAAAGAAGACAAGGAUAGAUUUAUAAAAGCUGUUAAAACAAUCUUUUAAGAAGCUUAGAGACUAACAUGAAACUGAGUAGUAUAUUGUUAAUUUUGACACUUCUAGGAAAUUAUCAUAAUCCUCUGUUCUAGCUGUUGAGGAAAGGCCAAAUGAGUUUUGAAGAGCAAAAUGACAUUUUCAUCCACCAAGACUUCAAAGCAAUGACUACCAAAAAAAAUUCCUAGAAGUCAUAUAACUUUUCUACUAAUGAAAAAAUUUUUUUGUUAUAUCUUAUUCACUU
This 902-nucleotide long non-coding RNA is filed under the name Ictidomys tridecemlineatus (thirteen-lined ground squirrel). RNAcentral's name for it is "lncRNA (ENSSTOG00000033295.1)". Lineage: Eukaryota; Metazoa; Chordata; Mammalia; Rodentia; Sciuridae. The record is from RNAcentral.